GACGAACGCUGGCGGCGUGCUUAACACAUGCAAGUCGAACGGAAAGGCCCUGCUUUUGUGGGGUGCUCGAGUGGCGAACGGGUGAGUAACACGUGAGUAACCUGCCCUUGACUUUGGGAUAACUUCAGGAAACUGGGGCUAAUACCGGAUAGGAGCUCCUGCUGCAUGGUGGGGGUUGGAAAGUUUCGGCGGUUGGGGAUGGACUCGCGGCUUAUCAGCUUGUUGGUGGGGUAGUGGCUUACCAAGGCUUUGACGGGUAGCCGGCCUGAGAGGGUGACCGGCCACAUGGGGACUGAGAUACGGCCCAGACUCCUACGGGGGGCAGCAGUGGGGAAUAUUGCACAAUGGGCGGAAGCCUGAGGCAGCAACGCCGCGUGCGGGAUGACGGCCUUCGGGUUGUAAACCGCUUUCGCCUGUGACGAAGCGUGAGUGGCGGUAAUGGGUAAAGAAGCACCGGCUAACUACGUG
Molecule: ribosomal RNA, 468 nt
Filed under: uncultured bacterium
Lineage: Bacteria
Description: partial 16S ribosomal RNA
Rfam family: Bacterial small subunit ribosomal RNA
Source: RNAcentral